CCAAUUUGGAGAAAUGGAAAGCAAGAUACCUUUGGGAUCUUGGGCUACUGGAAGAUUAUGAACCCCUCCACUGGUGUGUUUAUUUCUGAUCAGGUAUUAAUGCUACAUUACUAAAGACCAAAGACCUACUUGCUUCUUCCGACUCUCCCAUGAAAAUAUUUUAUACAGGCAACUCUCAUCUGUUGUACAAGUACUUAAAGAGAGCUUGUGAAGAAGGUGAAUUUAGGAGCAAUGAGUCUGAAAUGAUCUCCAUAAAGAUCCAGAUCCCUGUGAGAGAGACGGAGAAACUGCAGCAUGGUACAAGCUACUAUUUUGCUAAAGGUCAUGUUAAAAAUGAGGGUAGAAAAUUGACUGAUUACAAAAUCAUACUUCACUAGUCCUAAUAUGUUUGUACAUACAUAUACGGAGAAUAUAUAGCAGAAUAUAGGUAAUAUUAAAUGUUUGGUAGACCCUCAUUUCCAUUGCUCAGUACCAGUUGCUUCUGAGGAAGGUAGUAAAUUCUUCUUUGCAGAUAGUAAUGUAAAGAGAGACUGUGCCUUCAUAACCCUUAAAGAAGGUUAUUGUCGGUGUUACAAGCUAGAUUAUAUUAAAGAUACAUUCAGAACAAACUUCAGUUCCUUUUAAUGCUAUUCAUCUGAGCUAUCAGAUUCCUAGAAAAUGUCUCUCUC
Long non-coding RNA from Gallus gallus (chicken), 668 nucleotides. RefSeq lists it as uncharacterized. The record is from RefSeq and is a predicted model, not a curated record. NCBI's taxonomy places the organism in Eukaryota, Metazoa, Chordata, Aves, Galliformes, Phasianidae. The transcript is spliced from 3 exons.